Ctenopharyngodon idella (grass carp) is the source of this 5925-nucleotide long non-coding RNA. RefSeq lists it as uncharacterized. The record is from RefSeq and is a predicted model, not a curated record. Lineage: Eukaryota; Metazoa; Chordata; Actinopteri; Cypriniformes; Xenocyprididae. The transcript is spliced from 7 exons.
CGUUUUAGUAAAUCGUGCGCACGAUUUAGUAAAUCGAGGGAACGAAAUAUAAAUUAUGCGCACGAUUUAGCCUACUAUUUUUUUCCUGCAUGUCAUGUCCGGGGCUCCGUAGUAGUCUACUGGAAAACAAGACAUAAAUACUGAUGAAGGAAAUGUUUUGCAGUGUCAGUCUGCACAGUUAGUUUUUAUUUGGGGCCCUCUGCUGGUCACGAGCGAUUAAACCACUCAAUGUGCAACACACUUCUUAUCAAUAAAGUAUGAAAUACAAUAUAUUAUUACCUUAUGAAAAUUAGAACUUUGAGAAGAUUUUUUAUUACUUUUUUUAUUAUUUUUUUUUUUUUUUUGGAGCAUCUUUAUAAGUGUAAAAUGGACUUUCCUAAUUUUGUUUAAAUGUUUGUCCCUGUUCAAUCAAUUAUAAUACAGAAAAGAGAGGACUGCAACCUUUGGAGGUCUUUUAUACUGGUGAAAAGUGGGAAGUUGAUUACAUUGAGAAAUCUCAGUUGAACUGCCUUUGUACAGCUAACGUCUUGUUUUGGGGUUGAGAAACGGUCCCAAAUAGAAACAAGGAAGUGACAGAAAGACUGACAGACAGACACGGUUUUAUACUUUGCAGAACAACAAAAACGGUUAAAACCAUUCAGAAUGUGGAAAGCAAGAGUCUUCUGUUUCUUCAUCUGUACAGACUGUCUACUUUACAUUAGUUGUGCUGUGAUUGGAAUAUGAGGGAGAAGACUUUUCACGUCAGAAACCCACCUGGCUACGAGACAGCAAGUACUUUGGCAGAUUAGGGGUGCGUUUCCCAAAAGCAUUGUGUAAAUAACCAUAAGUAUAUUUUGUUAUAGAAAAGGUGAUUGUCUUUUAUUUUGAAAUUUCUGUAGUGAAAUGGUUGACUUCCGGUCUUAAGCUACGCGCAUUUGUUUUCCUGUGGAAGCGCGCGCGCCCUGGCUAGCGCAGUUUAUAGUAUAUAGCUUGUUAGCCCAAAUACGGCAAUAACUUCGACACGGAGCCAUGGUAAAUGUCAAAUUCAUACUUGCAGCCCCUCCGAAGAGGCAAAGGGUAUGUUAAAUAAGUUGAGAUAUGAGCAUUUUGUCUGUUAAUAUGUUCGUUUUGCACAAAUGUAAGACAGCAGUAUAUUAACGAUGUUAGCUGAUCAGUUACAUGUUUUAUAUACAUUUCAGCUCUUACGUUGGUGAUAUGGUGAAUGGAUUAAGGUUCAUAAAGGAUUAAAUAUCAUAAAACCAUCAGUAAAAGUCUCAUCCUUGUUCGGGGGCAUGUAACACAUUGUUAGCCAUCUAGCAUCGCAAGUUCCGUCGUUACUUACAUAGUUCAACAAUUGGGUGUUUCCCAAAACCAUCGUUCAAACGAACAUUCGCAAACUGCAUCGCAAACUUGUGUGGUUGGAAUGACAGCUCUCGAGCUGUAGUUAGAAGCAUAGUUUCUUGUUUUUAUGACAUGUGGACUUAAUAAAUCGUUAUCUUGAGCAAAAUAAGCAAGCUGACACUAAGUACAAUGUAUAUAUUUUAUUUCAUACAAAUGUCAUUUAUAUGUUUUAGUUUGUCAAAAGAUUUAAAGCACUGUUUUUGGAGAGUGCGCAUGCGCAUACGUGCUCUAGUAUGUCAGAACAAGCAUUUGAUUUAAUCUGGAAAUAAAGCAAAAUAACUGAGGAAAGUGAGAAUUAGUCCUCUAAUGCCAAGUCCGUAAUUUAUAGCAAAAAAUCUAGCAUUAAUUCGAUCUCAAACGGAUUCAUUUAAAGAAGUUAUUACUCACCACCUGCGUGACGUCAUUCACCAACGUGGUUGAACGACAGGUUUGCGACAAUACGGUUUCGGGAAACAGUCGUGACUAGCUAGUUGAUUUGUUCAACGAUAUCGUACUAUGGUAGUUCAGCAGCGAGUUACAUCGUUGUUCGGGAAACGCACCCCUGAUGGAUUCUUCUUUGAGAAACUGGUUCAGACCGCUGAAUUCAACAGGUGGGCCAGACAACUCAUCCGCGUGCGUUCUCACCGCCGCCAUCUUUGGACAGAUCUCAGAUGAUUCUGGCUUAUACACACUGCUGCCUGAUCCUGAUACUCAAAUACAACUAACUGUCAGAAGAGGUGAACCAUAGAGACCCACAACAUCAUUACCAAGAGGUACCAGAGUAAACCAGGAAGAGAAUGUUUAUUUAUCCACACAAAAAACUACUCAUACAAUAUAAUUAACUUAGUUCAAAUUGAACGAACAGUCCUGCAAAUGUCACAACACAGAACUGGACCAAAAAAGAGAUCAGGGUGAUCCGUCUGUCUGUCUGUGCAUCAUAUUUAGAGCAGAGCACCGGUGGUGUGAGGACCCUAUUGUAAUUGCUCGGUCUAUUAUUCUUCUUCUCUGAAACUAAUCGCAAUUUCGAGGGCCUAAACAUGCUUGAAAACUCAACUUUGCACAUGCAUCAGAAGUGGUGAAAAUUUACAUAUGAUAUGGGUUUCAGAAUUAGGUGUGGCAAAAUGGCUUGAUAGCACCACCUACAAAGAUUUCAAUUAAGUGCCCUUCACGCUAAAUUUCACGAAUGAAAUUCGGUACACACAUGUAACAGCCAAUACCUACAAAAACGUCCCAGAGUGCAAAAUCUAUAAACCCAACAGGAGACUUACGAUAUUUAGAAUUUUCCCAGCAAAAUUUUGGUAGUUUUUGACAUUUCCAGACAUUGUACUUUAAUGAACUCAUCAGAAUAACAUCAUAUUUGGUCAGUCUAAUCUAAAGGCCUUUGCGACAUUAAAUUGCGAAGAUCUAGAGUUUUCUCUGAAGGGCGUGUCCGCGGCGGCCUGACAAAAUUCGAUGUUUCGCCAUGAAACAGGAAGCUGUUGUAACUCAGGCAUACAAUGUCCGAUCUGCCCCAAACUUCACGUGUGAUAAGGGUCCUGGCCUGAAGACAUUUACAUGCAAAUAUUCAGUUAGUCAUAGUACCACCUGCUGGAAACAGGAAAUGGCAAUUCACUCACAGAAACACAUUUAAAUAUGCCAUGAAGUACCAAACGUGGUAGAAACAUGUUAAAUCAUGCAACACUUGGCUAAACGCUAAAGUAUUAACGCCACGAAACAGGAAGUUGUUGUAACUCUGUACACACAACUUGUAACUUGUUGUCUUUGCAAUUGACCCCUUGUCUACUUACAUGAUGUAUUUCCUGUAUUUGGCUCAAGCUUUCAAGUAGGUGUGAAGACUGCAAGUGUGUGUAGAAUUUUUGAUUACCCGAUGGGACACACUUAUAGUCUUGCAAAAAAUGCAAGCGUUUACAGCUUUUUUUUAAUUAUUAUUUUCAAUACUUUGCAUUUUAAAAUACACUUCUAAAUGUCUUCUAAACUGUCAUUCUAUUGUUCAUUCUAUCUUAUCCAUAUCUUUUAAUUACACACACACACACACACACAAAGCUAGUUGUGUCUUUCUACAGGUGAGUAGGCUAGAGGAGACUUCCUCUUUUCUACACAAUCUUCACUCACGCUUAACAGCUAUUGUGUAUUUUUUUAUCUCCAGUAUCUGUGUCUUAUCACACCAGGAUCAAGGUCUUCAGGAUUAAUAGAAAGUUAUAGGCAGAUGAGUUUGAUCAAGGUUGGAGCUUUUUUUUUUUUUUUUUGCAACUUCACUGUAUUCAUUAUACACUGAUCACACAGCUUAUUUAUACUUGAGAAACUUUAUAGUUAACAGUUAUACACGAGAUGCAAAAGAAAGAGUCUCUCAUGAGAUCUAAAUUAAUUUCAGGUUAGUCCAGCACCUUAUUUGUUGCUUUAUCAUAAAAUUAAAAUCAUACAAUUUUUAAUUAAAGGCACAAUUUAAAAUGAUUGAUUGUCACUGCAUUAGAUAAUAAAACAUCAAACCAUUUUUUCAGAUUAAACGACAUCGGGCAAACAUGAUGAGUUAAGUUAGUGAAGAGAAAAGAUCCUGCAGAGUCUGUUUGAUAUUUUAUCCAAUGCAAUAACAUUCACACAUUUUAAAGUGUCCAAAUACUCUCUGAGGCCACAUGAAAACAUGACAACACUAUAAAAUACAAUGUUAUGAUCUGAAGCUGUGGUUAUAUUGUUUUGAAAUGCACAGUAAGGACAUGGUGUAGUGAUGGAUGUGGAAAUGAAGGUAAGGAGGGGAAAUGAAGGGAAAUGAAGGGAAGUUAAGCAUUGCACCAUACUUUGUGUCAGUACGGAAGAUAGAGUUGUUUUCCAAUGUUCAAGGAUUUUAUGUAGUCAAAAAGUGCCGUAAAGCUUCACCAUGUGGAGCUUUAUUCUUCUUCUCUGGUCCUGGAUUCGUAUCGGUGAGUUCAAGAUUUGUAUGUGUGACUGUUUUACACUUCUGAUUUUCACUGGUCUUGUAUUUUUACAGCAGUAUUUCUUAAUACAAUAAAUAUGUUAAUCAUGGCUAAUGAUAUUUGUGUUUUCAGCUGUUGUUGUAGGAGCUUCAGAGACAAUUAUAGGAUACAGAGGAGAGAGAGUUGAGAUCAGAUGCUCAUAUGAAUCUAGAUAUGAAUCAAAUUCAAAGUAUUUUUGUAAAGGGGAGUGCAUCAUUGGAAUUAAAAACAUCAUGGUUAAAUCAGGAUCUCCAGCUAAAGACGAGAGAUUCUCCCUGACUGACAACACGACGAACAGAGUUUUCACCGUCACCAUCACUGAUCUGAGAACCGAGGAUGAAGGCAAAUACUGGUGUGCUGUGGAGAGGACUUUGUCUUUAACUGAUGUCUAUUCAGAGAUUUUGUUGAAGGUUAAACAGGGUUCAUUGACUCAAACCACUUCACCUGACACAAGUUCAUUUGGUAUCAUCAUCACAGGAGUUUUGGUUUUGCUCCUGAUAAGUGCUGUAUUGCUUAUUGUGGCCGUACGAAAGAAAAAGCAGACUUGUGGUCUGUUCUCCUCCUUCACCGAAGGGCUUCAUUUGACAUUAAGAAAAGGAGCAGAGAAUGAAUAUGAUGAAGGGAACCCGACUGUCCUGCCGAACUCACACACAGCUCAAAGUGAUAAUAUUUCUGCAGAAAAUGAGUUUCACAGACCUGUGAACACAGAACCAGCCGACACAGACCUCGAUUACACAAAUGUUACUUCUGCAGCGACAAACAGUCAGAAUCUGGAUCAGAUCUACACAGAACUCAACGCUAGUAAACAGAGUCACAUUUAUCAGUGUCUUAGAGCUGAUUCUGCUAGAAAAGAGUCGAUCUAUCACAACACUGAUUGAACGAUUGACUGAACACUCGUACUCAUACUGUAAAGAGCGAUGUUCACUAAUUAGGAAAUGGCUAAUCAGCACAAUGACAUCAUGACACGACUGAUCGGCUGAUGACCUCGCAAGAAAACAAACUAUCUCAGUCAGGAAACACUGUUUGAAUGGCCGUCAAUGGAGAAAGAUGCUGUUGAACCCAUAUAGUGUAGUUACGACAUCUACCAGCAGAGGUUAAUUGGUUCCUGCUAACCAGCUAAACCUCAACCACUCGGCAAGAACAGCUUUUGAUUGAGAAUUUAAAUAACUUUUUUUAGUAGUGUUGUAAAGUCAGAAUCAGAAAGAGCUUUAUUGCCAGGUAUGUUUACACAUAUGAGGAAUUUGUUCCUGAAGCUUCCACAGCACAAACAGAAUGACAGUGACAAGACACAGGUAAUACAAAUAAUAAAUAUAGAACAAGUAAAUAGGAAAUAACAAUAUAACGGAGGCCAGCUAGUAGUCACUGUGCGAGUCAACCUCAGUCCUCUGAUCUCAAGAGAUGCUCUAGCGACUGACGCUAGAGGUUGCAGCCUUUAGCCUUUAGCCAGAGUGUGUUGAGUAGGACCUGGGUAGAGGGGUUAUAUAUACAUAUAAACAUUUAAAAAUACAAAUUUACAAAAAUCGACAAUAGACGGUAUAUGUGUGUACCGGUAUGUUAUGUACAAAUGCAAGGAAAUGUAAAUAAGUAUGGUGUGAUAAAUAAAUAAAUAAAUAAAUAA